Molecule: non-coding RNA, 1482 nt
Organism: Odocoileus virginianus texanus
Lineage: Eukaryota; Metazoa; Chordata; Mammalia; Artiodactyla; Cervidae
Source: RefSeq, a predicted model, not a curated record
AGGUCAUGGCCGCUGGCUGCACCCACUAACAAAGAGGAAGCCCAGGGCCUCUCCAGAUCCUGGGGACAGCACGAACCCCCUCUGGGUGUCCUUCUGGAAGCCGCCUUAGAACAGGACUCCUCUCAACAAGCACUGGAAGCUGCUCAACAAGCUGAGGCCAGGGGCUGGCCUUGUGACCACAGUGCUUGCAAGGUUUGUGGAAUGAGGUGGCCUCAAUGCCCACACACCCACACUCGCUGCUGACUGCAGCCUGUGGCAGCCAGAGACCACACGGGGUGCCAGUCUCUUGGACUCUUGACCUGCAAGCUGCCUGAAGCCACUGCCCAAUACAAAUACUUUGGACUGAAGCUUCUCACUGCUGUUGGAUUCUGGUGAAAAUGAAAUCUCUCACCAUCACCAUCAAAGGACCUUAUGUGACCCUGACUUGGAUUUCUGCUCCUGACUUGGAUUUCUACCAAUUUAUCAUCCCAAAACAAUCCAAGCCAGGACCUGAGCAGACCCAUGGUGAUGCCUAGAUUGACAACACCCUCAUCAGAGUCAUCACUGCUAUGGCCAAGGAAGAUGCCUUGAAACAAAGCUGUAUCUGCCACCCAAGACUGAGGGUUCUAUUGCCUCAGACUCCCACCUUGGUGGCCUGGCUGAAACUUAAGGACAUGGGCCAUCAAUGGAUCUGUCCACUGAGUGACUCUACUGAUCCGAGUUCAGAUGCAGGAUCACUCCACUGUCCUCUGUUAAUGGCACCUGUAACACAAUUGGAAAGGACUCUGCAGGGAGCCAGGUGUUGCUGACUCACACAGGUACUGAAACAAGAUGACAAAAGAAGCUUUAUGGCUCCUUCCAGAUGGACCACAGAGUCUCGCACUGCAAGUUGAAAGGGGUUCAGUGUGAAGCUGAGUCCCAAACCACCACGCAUAUUCUGAUCACCAGCACUCCCUGUUUCAUCAUUCUGCUGUACCAGACCUAAACGUUGUCAAAUCCUCAGACCUUGUCAAAGCUGUGAGCAACUUGGUGGGAUGCAGUGCAGACGCAGUGCAAACACAGCCCAGAAGCACAGUGAGAGGCCACUUGUGUCUUCCUGCAGAGGAAGGAAGUGAGAACGAAUUGGACACUAAAUGUUUAUUUAAUUUAGAGAACACCUCUAAAUCACAUCUUCAAGGAGACGUGAAAUACACUGUUAGGUGAGAAACAAAGCCCAUUUAUAUGUAUCAUGUUGUGUAACUAUCUCCAUCUCACACUUGGCCAUUGUUGCUUGCAACUGUCUGGAAAUUAAAUAUACCUUCCUGGGAGUGCCAGGUAAAUGCUGCACAGACAGAAGAGAAGGGUUCCCACGAGGAUCUUAUCUCAUGUACAUUUCAAUCAUAAAGUGUUCCAAGUUUGCCAAUGGGUCUUAGGAAGCUCAGGUAAUCCCAGAUACACACAGACACAAAUAAAAAUUAUUCUGAGUCAUUAAAUGUGAACUCUUUCCCCCACCAGAUCUUUCAG